UGGGGAAUAUUGCACAAUGGGCGCAAGCCUGAUGCAGCCAUGCCGCGUGUAUGAAGAAGGCCUUCGGGUUGUAAAGUACUUUCAGCGAGGAGGAAGGCGUUGUGGUUAAUAACCGCAACGAUUGACGUUACUCGCAGAAGAAGCACCGGCUAACUCCGUGCCAGCAGCCGCGGUAAUACGGAGGGUGCAAGCGUUAAUCGGAAUUACUGGGCGUAAAGCGCACGCAGGCGGUCUGUCAAGUCGGAUGUGAAAUCCCCGGGCUCAACCUGGGAACUGCAUCCGAAACUGGCAGGCUAGAGUCUUGUAGAGGGGGGUAGAAUUCCAGGUGUAGCGGUGAAAUGCGUAGAGAUCUGGAGGAAUACCGGUGGCGAAGGCGGCCCCCUGGACGAAGACUGACGCUCAGGUGCGAAAGCGUGGGGAGCAAACA
RNAcentral lists this ribosomal RNA (427 nucleotides) under uncultured bacterium. RNAcentral's name for it is "partial 16S ribosomal RNA". It matches the Rfam family "Bacterial small subunit ribosomal RNA", at positions 355 to 774 of the family's 1533-position model. The record is from RNAcentral.